Molecule: ribosomal RNA, 440 nt
Filed under: uncultured Pseudomonas sp.
Lineage: Bacteria; Pseudomonadati; Pseudomonadota; Gammaproteobacteria; Pseudomonadales; Pseudomonadaceae
Description: bacterial SSU rRNA
Rfam family: Bacterial small subunit ribosomal RNA
Source: RNAcentral
GGAAUAUUGGACAAUGGGCGAAAGCCUGAUCCAGCCAUGCCGCGUGUGUGAAGAAGGUCUUCGGAUUGUAAAGCACUUUAAGUUGGGAGGAAGGGCAGUUACCUAAUACGUGAUUGUUUUGACGUUACCGACAGAAUAAGCACCGGCUAACUCUGUGCCAGCAGCCGCGGUAAUACAGAGGGUGCAAGCGUUAAUCGGAAUUACUGGGCGUAAAGCGCGCGUAGGUGGUUUGUUAAGUUGGAUGUGAAAUCCCCGGGCUCAACCUGGGAACUGCAUUCAAAACUGACUGACUAGAGUAUGGUAGAGGGUGGUGGAAUUUCCUGUGUAGCGGUGAAAUGCGUAGAUAUAGGAAGGAACACCAGUGGCGAAGGCGACCACCUGGACUAAUACUGACACUGAGGUGCGAAAGCGUGGGGAGCAAACAGGAUUAGAUACCCGGG